This is a long non-coding RNA of Gambusia affinis (western mosquitofish), 4011 nucleotides long. RefSeq lists it as uncharacterized. NCBI's taxonomy places the organism in Eukaryota, Metazoa, Chordata, Actinopteri, Cyprinodontiformes, Poeciliidae. The record is from RefSeq and is a predicted model, not a curated record. The transcript is spliced from 5 exons.
UUGAAGACUACCUUCAGAUCUUGGGAGAACGUCGCUCUCAGCUCUCGCUUCCUCAAUGACAGGCUGUGUGAGCCGCACCGAGAACAGCGACGGCACACUGAUUCACAAGGAUCUUUUACAGAAACAAGAGCAGAAAAUGCUUCGCCUCAGAGGAGGUGCUGGAAAUGAACCUGUCUCUGACGAAUCCCCAGCAGAAGAGAACGGAAGCUCCUUUACUUCAGGCUCAUCAUGGCUAUUUGCAUUGACCAUAGUGUUCUCACCAGAGGGACCAUGCACCUGAGAAACCUGCCCUCUCUUCUUUUCACUACAUGCUCACUCAUUAUUAAGAUCUAAAUGAAUCGCUGGAGAAAGGUUAUUACUGUGAUGCAACACCAGAAAGCGGAAGAAUUGAUCAAUCUUCUGGAAUCAGACUUAUUGGUAUUUGGACAAACUAUCCAAAUACCAUGUCCGAUAUGGAAAAUAAAAUGACUGGAAACUGUUGUGGGUAGCCUUUGUCUGGUGCGCUACCAUGUGCAACGAUCUGUAAGUAACGAUUGUUAUCUGUUAUCUUUUAAGAGCACCUCACUUACAGAAGACACCGAUGUAAAGCUGGAUUCUUUCAGCACCAGAACAACAGAAAAAAUCAAAAAUACUUUCUUCUGUUUAGCAUUAGUCACAAUAUAACUUGAGUCUUUGGCAUUUGCAAAAAGUUGGAUAGAAAAUAUAUUUGCUUGAGCUUUUGCCAGUCCGAUUCAUAAAGACCACAUAGCAAUGGGAAAUGUUCUCCCGUGCCUUACCAAACAAAAUAACAAGGUCCAAAGGUGUUGCAUUUCACAAGUCAGUGAAAAGUUUGAAUUAAGAAAUAUAGCAAGGGAGAUGGAAAUAGAUUAGCUAUGCUAGCUUGACUAUGAGAAUCUUAACAUGUAGAUGUGCUGUGGAAUUCACUUUGGUUAGGUUCAGUUUAAAAAAAUUAGGUGACCCACAUGCCAACUCUCUGACAGAUCGUUUGUAGAGCAGGUGUUUAAGUUAGCUAAUCGACCACCGCUGUCCUCAGACGGUUACUGGUUAAUAAUCACAAAAUAAACAUCAAAUCUGAAAACAUAAAACGAUUACAGACUGUUCUGUUCUCUGUGUGAGGUAUGUUUGCAUGUUUUUUGUUUUCGGUAUUGAAUUCUGAUACACUCACAGUGCUGUUGUCAAUCAAUUGCUAUGGCAAUGGGUCAAUAUGUAGCAUGGCCGACACAGAGAGCAAGAAAAGAGGAAUACAUGUGGUUUUAAGUUGUUUUUCAGUGUUUUCCUGCAUUAUUUUCCCUCUGCUGUGGCGCACUGCACUAAAUUAAUAAUACUUACAUCUCCAGGUUUCAUUUUGUUAAUGGAGUUGUUCAAUCGAUGGAUGACAAGUGAAAUAAUCUUCUUGCCCUCCAGCUUUGUGCGGAGGCAUAACAUUUCUGAAUGUAAACAUCAUGCAAAGUGUCUAUAGUGUUUCUGCACAUUUAUUGACUGUAUUCAUACCAGGUUUGACAAGUAGAUAAAGAGAACAAAAGUUCAUGUUACUGAAUUAAAAAUCUCUGAAGUGGUGUCUGACAUACAAACUUUUGUUUCUGAAGUUCUCUUCAAAUGCUAACACCCUUUGAUGCCACUUCUCUUCCUCUUGUGCUAAGAAAGGUAAUUAACCUUGCAGUAAGCAGAUAGGCUCAUCCGGAGGCCAUUUAUCUUGCUCCUUAACGACACCCAGGUUAUCUCAAUGCCUGCCUGCAUUAUCACACUCUUUUUCUGAAAGGCUGGAUAUGCUGUAGGAACUGAGAACGUGGCUACGCAAUAGCAUCAAACUGAGGCAAAACAGCUUUGUUUUUAUGAGUGUUUCUGAGAGUUAUAUAAGUGGAAUUUUACAGUGUUCUUUUGUACUUGGGGACAUCAGUCCAUCAUGUCUCUUUUGUUUAAAGAUACCCACACAUCCCUGUCUUGAGCUCAUUGGAAGUAUAAAAAUAGCUACAAUACUAUUCCAACACCAAUUUGUUAGUACAGUAACAUUUUUCUUACAAGCAAACAUUCAUGGAGUCAGGCACUGACGUUAGACAAGAAGGCUGAUAAUACACACCCAUUCAGCAAUUUAUUGUUGGUUUUGUUUCAGGAACUUCAUCACUUAGUGAAGCAAAUCAUAUAAGGACACACAAAGGGAUGUUUGGAGGACUUUAUUUCCUUGAAUGAUUAUCUGUCAGAUUCUCCUCUGACAGAUAAUAAAAACAUGACAAUUAAAAAUAGAAUAUUACAUCACACCAAAAAAGAAAAUUAAUACAGAAAUGCAGCCUUAAUGAAAGGUAUGCUUAAUAUCUAAUCAAAGGUUGUCAAUUUUCAAAGGAUAAUUCAUUGACUAUGGCAGCAAUAAUAACACAAAUAAUAACAUUACUUGAUCUUAGUCAAUGUUGUGUCCUAUACACAGCAAUAAAGAUGCCUGAUUCUUGAAACUGAAAGUGAGACUGGAGGUAUGACCAAGUUUCUGAUGAAUCUGACUAAAAAUGAUCAGACUAUAAAGUUCACACUCAGAACAUUGAAGUCUAUUUCCCAAGGGUUGAGCAGAUACUUGGAUAUACACUUUACACAUCUCAUCCUGACGCAAUGCAGCACAACUUUGUUCCAUAUAGACAUGCACUAUUCAAACAAAGAAGAGAAAAUGACCCAAAAAAAGACAUAAAUUCUUUGAAUGCAUGACAGAAAAUGAUCUGUUUGAUUUUUGUCUCGUCAGGAACUGCAUAACAAGUGUUUUUCCAUGCAACAGCCUUUAUCAUAAAGUAGGAAAGUGUGUGCAUUUAAAAUGCAACAUACACCAAGAGCUUUUUUUUUUUAAAUCUUUCUCAAAAAAGUAAAAUAUGUCAGUGAGUAGGAGUUCAGCAUUGUGCCCAGGUACGCUGCACACACAGAGGUACCAAGGUAAAUAUAAAGUCUCUCUGAUUUCAAAAUUGUGGUAAAAGAAAUAAUUUUAAAAAACAAGCAACAAUGUAUUUUUCAAACUUGCGUUAGUGUGGGAGGUAUGAGCUGGAGGACGGAUUCAUAAUUAGAAGAAAAAACAAAGCAGCCCAUCCUGAUGCAUUUACAAGCAGACCUUUCCAACAACCCCUCUUUGUUUUAAUGCACUGAAUUAUGUGCUCUCUGGAGCACACAAAUAGAAAUCAAUUAAACUCUAUAUAACUCAUCCAACUCAACAACUCAGAAGCAGUGGGUUUUUUAAUUUUUUUAUUCCAGAAUAACUCGUCUAAUUAGAAGUUUUUGCAGAAGGUUGUCAUACAACAAUUAUUGAAAGAAAAGUUUUAGCAUUUUUCACAGUCUUUCCCCACCAGCAGCAGCUCUAGUUUACUCAUCCUAACAACACGCUAACAAAAGCCGAUUCGAUUUUCCUACUUAUGUUUAGAUUUAGGAGGCUGUUAGAGAGGGAAGCAUCUGCAACCAAAGCAACAUCAGGCCAGAACACUGCUGCCCCUGGCAACGGCCAGACAGCUACUGCAGGAAGAAGCGGCUCCGUUCGUGUACAGAUGUUGACCCGUGACACACUGAAAGCGAAAUAAUCCAGCAUCGUCCGGUGACUGGACUGCCGUGUUUCAAACAGAUAUAUUUUGGUGUUUGAAGGAAAUGUGUGUUCUGCUUCAGGAAACAUUGGGUGGCAUAGAUGAUUAAGAGGAACUCGCCAGAAUACUUUAAAAUCCCAGUUUAUAGAGCAUUCAUUCAUUUCCGUUGAAGUUUUUUGUUGUUUUGUCAUGUUUUGACCACAAAAACGCUAUGUAUCUAUGAAAGGGGUCGCACUAUGUAAAAUCAACAUUUAGAAGAUUAACCUCACUUUAUAAUGUUACUCCCUCAUCAAAAACAUUCUUUUGUGCGUGUUUGGGAAAUCCUUUAAUCUCUUCUCCACUGAGCUGCGAUUUCCAAGCUCCCACCUCACAGAGCAGCCAUUAGCAAAGGCCUCCUGGAACCAGCUGAGCUCAUUAUACAAACUACUCCUCAGUGAAACGCUGGGAAAAGUGUUGCUAAAGGGUUAAUAGA